Molecule: long non-coding RNA, 1419 nt
Organism: Hylaeus anthracinus
Lineage: Eukaryota; Metazoa; Arthropoda; Insecta; Hymenoptera; Colletidae
Exons: 3
Source: RefSeq, a predicted model, not a curated record
UUUUAUUAAGUUAGUUUCGAGUGGUCGAUCCGAUAGUCCGCUGAAUAGCUUUCUCCCUGCGCGUUGGACGCUUACUGUCUGCUACGUCUGUUCGUUUUGGGACGUGUAGAGGUCUUAUACCGUUCACUGGAGAGUUUUGCUAUGGCAGGGUUCCGUCGAGGCAACUUCGAACAUGAAAGCCCUUCCUCUCGGUGCGCAGGAGGUUCUUCUUCCCGAUAUAAGCUCUCCAAAGUAAAACUUUCGAGUGGACGCGAUGUCCUAAAGUUGUAGCUCUAGACGGAACCCCGAAUCACUGUGAUCGUCUCAGCGCUUCGCAUUUGUAUCGUUUCCUGGGAUCAUUUCAAACGUUUAACUUACUUCCCAUCGAAAUUUGAUCUUUUAAUGAAAGAAAAGUGCGCGAACGUCGAAGGUUAUCGAAGAAGAGGCUGUUACAACGAGAAAAGGAUUGCGUUGGUCGGCCAUGGCCUGGGACUGGCAGCUAAAGGCCAGAAAUAGACCCAAUUCCACGUAUUCCGUAACGCGGCACCGAACAUCAUUCUACGUCCAUGUGGCCUCUCGUGUUCUCUAUUUACGGGCUUGCCCUGACUGCCAUGUGGUCGCCAGCUUUAUUUAAAUCGAUGUCGACGAUGCCGAGAGUGAAACGAGGAAAAAGUGCUCUGAAAAAGAAAGGACAGCAAACGCUAACCAUCCACCGUAAUAACCGGUCUAUUUCCGGUCCGGGGCUGGCAACCGGAGUCACAGCCAAUUAGAAACGGCCGUGAGACGGCACACGAAGACAUCGAAGGACUUUUCGACGCAGGGUCCGUCGCGUGAUCAUUUUCGAUCAUCGCUGCAGCUAGAUUUACAUGCGGAAAACCAGGAACGUCGCGUGGAACAUUGUUUCUGUGAUUAAAUUUGGAGAUUUUUGGCAAGCUAUAGUGAGGAUCUGUGACGUAAUCAAUUUAGAAUACAAGGCAGCGGAGGGCUACGUUUUAUUCUAUUGUAUUAGCCAUAGAAAUUAUUAGGUGUACUGGAAGUAAUGUCGUUUGUGCAAUUUUAAAUACUCGUUUAUCACUCAUCAGCUCAUUGAUUUUUAUCGAUAUGCCGUUGAAAAUUUGCACACUAAAUGGCAAAAGGCUGUUAAUAGGCGAUUACAUAAUUGAUUAAAAAUAGAAAUUUAUUAAAAAUUUGUUUGAAUUUAAUGUAAAAGAAACGACAUUACUUUCUAGUCUACCUAAUAAUUCUAUGCCUUUCUUGGUUAAACUUACUAUUUAUGAAGAAGAAUUAUGCAACUUUUAAUUUUCUCUCAGCUAUACAUUCUAAGAGAACAUGUGUACUCAAAAAAUGCAAUAGCGAAGUAAUAUUUCAUUAUUGUAUUGGAGAUUUUAUGUAUUUAUAAUCCAAGCGAGUAUGACAAAUAUAUGGUAAACAUAAUCAAAA